CAUAAACGAUGCCAACUAGUGAUCCGGCUGUGUUCCUCAAAUGACACACUGGACAGCUUCCGGAAAACCAAAGCUUUUGGAU
RNAcentral lists this ribosomal RNA (82 nucleotides) under Stegodyphus mimosarum. RNAcentral's name for it is "eukaryotic small subunit ribosomal RNA". The record is from RNAcentral. Lineage: Eukaryota; Metazoa; Arthropoda; Arachnida; Araneae; Eresidae.